ACAGGAAGCAGCUUGCUGCUUCGCUGACGAGUGGCGGACGGGUGAGUAAUGUCUGGGAAACUGCCUGAUGGAGGGGGAUAACUACUGGAAACGGUAGCUAAUACCGCAUAAUGUCGCAAGACCAAAGAGGGGGACCUUCGGGCCUCUUGCCAUCGGAUGUGCCCAGAUGGGAUUAGCUAGUAGGUGGGGUAACGGCUCACCUAGGCGACGAUCCCUAGCUGGUCUGAGAGGAUGACCAGCCACACUGGAACUGAGACACGGUCCAGACUCCUACGGGAGGCAGCAGUGGGGAAUAUUGCACAAUGGGCGCAAGCCUGAUGCAGCCAUGCCGCGUGUAUGAAGAAGGCCUUCGGGUUGUAAAGUACUUUCAGCGGGGAGGAAGGCGGUGAGGUUAAUAACCUCAUCGAUUGACGUUACCCGCAGAAGAAGCACCGGCUAACUCCGUGCCAGCAGCCGCGGUAAUACGGAGGGUGCAAGCGUUAAUCGGAAUUACUGGGCGUAAAGCGCACGCAGGCGGUCUGUCAAGUCGGAUGUGAAAUCCCCGGGCUCAACCUGGGAACUGCAUUCGAAACUGGCAGGCUAGAGUCUUGUAGAGGGGGGUAGAAUUCCAGGUGUAGCGGUGAAAUGCGUAGAGAUCUG
RNAcentral lists this ribosomal RNA (639 nucleotides) under uncultured Pseudomonadota bacterium. RNAcentral describes it as "bacterial SSU rRNA". It matches the Rfam family "Bacterial small subunit ribosomal RNA", at positions 69 to 700 of the family's 1533-position model. The record is from RNAcentral. Lineage: Bacteria; Pseudomonadati; Pseudomonadota.